UGGGGAAUAUUGCACAAUGGGCGAAAGCCUGAUGCAGCGACGCCGCGUGAGGGAUGACGGCCUUCGGGUUGUAAACCUCUUUCAGUAGGGACGAAGCGCAAGUGACGGUACCUGCAGAAGAAGCACCGGCUAACUACGUGCCAGCAGCCGCGGUAAUACGUAGGGUGCGAGCGUUGUCCGGAAUUACUGGGCGUAAAGAGCUCGUAGGCGGUUUGUCACGUCGUCUGUGAAAUCCUAGGGCUUAACCCUGGACGUGCAGGCGAUACGGGAUGACUUGAGUACUACAGGGGAGACUGGAAUUUCUGGUGUAGCGGUGGAAUGCACAGAUAUCAGGAAGAACACCGAUGGCGAAGGCAGGUCUCUGGGUAGUAACUGACGCUGAGGAGCGAAAGCAUGGGUAGCGAACAGG
This 409-nucleotide ribosomal RNA is filed under the name bacterium. Its description in RNAcentral is "partial 16S ribosomal RNA". It matches the Rfam family "Bacterial small subunit ribosomal RNA", at positions 355 to 776 of the family's 1533-position model. The record is from RNAcentral.